RNAcentral lists this ribosomal RNA (275 nucleotides) under uncultured bacterium. RNAcentral's name for it is "partial 16S ribosomal RNA". It matches the Rfam family "Bacterial small subunit ribosomal RNA", at positions 28 to 302 of the family's 1533-position model. The record is from RNAcentral.
GACGAACGCUGGCGGCGUGCUUAACACAUGCAAGUCGAGCGGUAAGGCCCUUUCGGGGGUACGACGAGCGGCGAACGGGUGAGUAACACGUGGGUGACCUGCCCUUAGCUCUGGGAUAAGCCUGGGAAACGUGGGUCUAAUACCGGAUAUGACUCCAUGACGCAUGUUGUGGGGUGGAAAGCCUUGUGCGGCUAGGGAUGGGCCCGCGGCCUAUCAGCUUGUUGGUGGGGUGAUGGCCUACCAAGGCGACGACGGGUAGCCGGCCUGAGAGGGCG